GCGACCCCAGGAUGGGCGGGAUGACCCGCUGAGUUUAAGCAUAUC
This 45-nucleotide ribosomal RNA is filed under the name Ludisia discolor. RNAcentral describes it as "partial 28S ribosomal RNA". RNAcentral also lists the same sequence under 3 other names. Lineage: Eukaryota; Viridiplantae; Streptophyta; Magnoliopsida; Asparagales; Orchidaceae. The record is from RNAcentral.